UACAGAGGGUGCGAGCGUUGUCCGGAAUCACUGGGCGUAAAGGGCGCGUAGGCGGUGGCCUAAGCGUGCGGUGAAAGCCCGGGGCUCAACCCCGGGUCGGCCGUGCGAACUGGGUCACUCGAGCACACUAGAGGCGAGUGGAAUUCCGGGUGUAGCGGUGGAAUGCGUAGAGAUCCGGAAGAACACCAGUGGCGAAGGCGGCUCGCUGGGGUGUGGCUGACGCUGAGGCGCGACAGCGUGGGGAGCAAAC
This 250-nucleotide ribosomal RNA is filed under the name uncultured bacterium. Its description in RNAcentral is "partial 16S ribosomal RNA". It matches the Rfam family "Bacterial small subunit ribosomal RNA", at positions 524 to 773 of the family's 1533-position model. The record is from RNAcentral.